AUCGCUUCUCGGCCUUUUGGCUAAGAUCAAAGUGUAAGUAUUGUUCUUAUCAGUUUAAUAUCUGAUAACGUCCCCUAUUGGGGCCAUAUAUUAAAUGGAUUUUUGGAACAGGGAGACUGGAAAGAGAGCUGCUCUGUCCACGGUCCACGCAUUCGACCGGUGUAUUGCAUGUACUCCUCCAGGACCGGUGCACUCUCU
This is a small nuclear RNA of Xenopus tropicalis (tropical clawed frog), 198 nucleotides long. Its record names the gene U2. It matches the Rfam family "U2 spliceosomal RNA". From Rfam's summary of the family: U2 is a small nuclear RNA (snRNA) component of the spliceosome (involved in pre-mRNA splicing). Complementary binding between U2 snRNA (in an area lying towards the 5' end but 3' to hairpin I) and the branchpoint sequence (BPS) of the intron results the bulging out of an unpaired adenosine, on the BPS, which initiates a nucleophilic attack at the intronic 5' splice site, thus starting the first of two transesterification reactions that mediate splicing. The record is from Ensembl. Lineage: Eukaryota; Metazoa; Chordata; Amphibia; Anura; Pipidae.